Non-coding RNA from Pelobates cultripes (western spadefoot toad), 220 nucleotides. The record is from the annotation of a GenBank genome assembly. Lineage: Eukaryota; Metazoa; Chordata; Amphibia; Anura; Pelobatidae.
CAUAGAAGGUAUAAAUAAGAUGCUUGAUUUGUAGGUUUAGAGGAAGAGGCAAAAAGUACAAUAGUUUAACUGCAAGAGUCAUGAAUCAAGCAAACUCUACUUGUGACAUGGUACAAUAUACAAAGCCCUAGCGUGAGUGAUAGAGUAAUCGUGAAACUGCGUGAAGCGUGUAAAACUGCACAAGGUGUAAUUGUGUGCUUAGUCCAAAAUUAGCUCAUGG